Panthera uncia (snow leopard) is the source of this 350-nucleotide long non-coding RNA. RefSeq lists it as uncharacterized. NCBI's taxonomy places the organism in Eukaryota, Metazoa, Chordata, Mammalia, Carnivora, Felidae. The record is from RefSeq and is a predicted model, not a curated record. The transcript has 2 exons.
CCAACCUCUGACAAGUGGCUGCCCCGUCACGCAGCCCUUCUUGCGGGCCUCCGUCAGACCCCCGUCGCAGGGACACUCUCGCCCGGGCAGAACAACUGGCACCUUGGCUGUGAAUUCUUGGUGAGUCAUCAGCAAACAGGCACCCAGAGUGAAACUGCGCUCAGCUGUUAGUUGCUAUUUACUUCUUGUCAGCAGGGGAGAGAAGUAAGGAGAGUUAAUUGGAGUGUGCAAGUGCCUGGCUCUGGAGAAAAUAUGGUCAGUCCCUUUUUAGUUCUUCAGUCUAUUUUUGUUUGAGCAUCAGAGAAAGAUACUUAAUAAAUGCUUUUCCAUAGUCAAAUGGGAUAAAAAUU